AUUGAACGCUGGCGGCAGGCUUAACACAUGCAAGUCGAGCGGAGCGAGGGUGCUUGCACCUUAGCUUAGCGGCGGACGGGUGAGUAAUGCUUAGGAAUCUGCCUAUUAGUGGGGGACAACAUUCCGAAAGGGAUGCUAAUACCGCAUACGCCCUACGGGGGAAAGCAGGGGAUCUUCGGACCUUGCGCUAAUAGAUGAGCCUAAGUCGGAUUAGCUAGUUGGUGGGGUAAAGGCCUACCAAGGCGACGAUCUGUAGCGGGUCUGAGAGGAUGAUCCGCCACACUGGGACUGAGACACGGCCCAGACUCCUACGGGAGGCAGCAGUGGGGAAUAUUGGACAAUGGGGGGAACCCUGAUCCAGCCAU
Molecule: ribosomal RNA, 365 nt
Filed under: Acinetobacter sp. oral taxon C51
Lineage: Bacteria; Pseudomonadati; Pseudomonadota; Gammaproteobacteria; Moraxellales; Moraxellaceae
Description: bacterial SSU rRNA
Rfam family: Bacterial small subunit ribosomal RNA
Source: RNAcentral